RNAcentral lists this ribosomal RNA (459 nucleotides) under uncultured bacterium. RNAcentral describes it as "SSU rRNA". It matches the Rfam family "Bacterial small subunit ribosomal RNA", at positions 26 to 518 of the family's 1533-position model. The record is from RNAcentral.
AGAAUCAACGCUGGCGGCGUGCCUAACACAUGCAAGUCGCACGAGAAAGGGACUUCGGUCCCGAGUACAGUGGCGCACGGGUGAGUAACACGUGAAUAAUCUACCUCCGAGUGGGGAAUAACUGAGAGAAAUCUUAGCUAAUACCGCAUAACACUUACGAGUCAAAGCAGCAAUGCGCUUGGAGAGGAGUUCGCGGCAGAUUAGUUAGUUGGCGGGGUAAUGGCCCACCAAGACGAUGAUCUGUAUCCGGCCUGAGAGGGCGCACGGACACACUGGAACUGAAACACGGUCCAGACUCCUACGGAGGCAGCAGUGGGGAAUUUUGCGCAAUGGGGGAAACCCUGACGCAGCAACGCCGCGUGGAGGAUGAAAUAUCUUGGUAUGUAAACUCCUUUCGAUGGGGAAGAUAAUGACGGUACCCAUAGAAGAAGCCCCGGCUAACUUCGCGCCAGCAGCCGC